UCCCUGUUACCAGGGCAGUCUAGCUAGAAAAAUACAACUAACUACAAGGGUUGCGCUCGUUGAUGGACUUAACCAAACAUCUCACGACACGAGCUGACGACGGCCAUGCAACACCUGUCACUUGGUUUCCGAAGACACACUCUGCUUUCGCAGUGCUUCCAAGGAUGUCAAGCCUGGGUAAGGUUCUUCGCUUACCAUCGAAUUAAACAACACGCUCCACCGCUUGUGCGGGUCCCCGUCAAUUCCUUUAUGUUUUAGUCUUGCGACCGUACUCCACAGGCGGGAUGCUUAACGCGUUAGCUUCGCUACUAGAAGGGUCGAUACUUCUAACAGCUAGCAUCCAUAGUUUACGGCGUGGACUAC
RNAcentral lists this unclassified non-coding RNA (363 nucleotides) under uncultured bacterium. RNAcentral's name for it is "contains 16S-23S intergenic spacer region". The record is from RNAcentral.